Molecule: ribosomal RNA, 484 nt
Filed under: uncultured bacterium
Lineage: Bacteria
Description: partial 16S ribosomal RNA
Rfam family: Bacterial small subunit ribosomal RNA
Source: RNAcentral
AUUGAACGCUGGCGGCAGGCCUAACACAUGCAAGUCGAGCGGAUGAAGGGAGCUUGCUCCUGGAUUCAGCGGCGGACGGGUGAGUAAUGCCUAGGAAUCUGCCUGGUAGUGGGGGAUAACGUCCGGAAACGGGCGCUAAUACCGCAUACGUCCUGAGGGAGAAAGUGGGGGAUCUUCGGACCUCACGCUAUCAGAUGAGCCUAGGUCGGAUUGGCUAGUUGGUGGGGUAAAGGCCUACCAAGGCGACGAUCCGUAACUGGUCUGAGAGGAUGAUCAGUCACACUGGAACUGAGACACGGUCCAGACUCCUACGGGAGGCAGCAGUGGGGAAUAUUGGACAGUGGGCGAAAGCCUGAUCCAGCCAUGCCGCGUGUGUGAAGAAGGUCUUCGGAUUGUAAAGCACUUUAAGUUGGGAGGAAGGGCAGUAAGUUAAUACCUUGCUGUUUUGACGUUACCAACAGAAUAAGCACCGGCUAACUUCGUG